GGUAGGAUGACACGACGUCAAUGCGUUAUUAACGAUCAGCCGACGAGAAAAGCAGUGUCUUUGUGUCCGACCUGCGUCUGCGCAGGUGUCUCUGGUCCCGCCCCUUCAGGCACGUGAUUGCUGCCAUGUUUGAGACGGGGAAAGAUGUUUGUGUUGGGUUGGGCAAGGAUGUCCCAAGGCAUGGUAUAUUGGAAAACCAAGCUGAUACUGCAAUGGAUUAAUGGACACAGCGCAACAGUCGCCAAACAGGGAUGAAAUGGGGGAACACUUCAGUGGUCAAAGACAUUGGGCCUCAAGAUCUUCAAGGUGACCAUCCUCCAAGGCAGUCUUCAGGAUACACAACGAUUCAGAGUCACCGAGCAGAGGCUGAUAAUCAAGUUCAAUACCCAUGAGGACUGCUUUAACUGGGAUCUUGGGUUCAUGUCACAUGACAGAUGACCCCAACACACACUGAUACUCACAUAGAUCCUCCCAUUCACAUACUUACUCUCACGAACACACUCUCCUCCUCCCACACACUUUUCCUCUCCAAUACACAUGCACACACACAAGUCUAUGGGGGUGAAUUUGCAUUUGCAGAUAGAUUUUGUUUUGUUCAAAAAAAGCACAGUCUGUAGGCAGUCAGUUAGUGACAUCUUAUAAAUUCCUACUUUGGAAAUAGAACCAGUCUGAUUCCAGGUUGGGAUACAGACAGACUGUAACCUCACACCUUUAAUGCAUUGCCUGAACGGAGAUGUCACUUUUUUUUAAACAGUGAUAACUUGAGCUUUUAUCACAGGACUGUGACUUGAAAGAAAUUCUGGAACUUACAUAUUAAUGAAUCAAAACCUGCAUCCACACUCUAAGUGAUUAGAGACUUAACAGCAAGCUAGGUUUGUUCAAUACAUUGCAUAAGUUGUAUGACACUUUGAUCUUUUACAAUUAAUUGUGUCUUAUAAUCUUGCCCCACUAGCUACCCGAUGAAGGAGCAGAGCUCCAAAAGUUUGUAAUUUCAAAUAAACUUGGAGUAUAA
This is a long non-coding RNA of Hemiscyllium ocellatum (epaulette shark), 1012 nucleotides long. RefSeq lists it as uncharacterized. The record is from RefSeq and is a predicted model, not a curated record. NCBI's taxonomy places the organism in Eukaryota, Metazoa, Chordata, Chondrichthyes, Orectolobiformes, Hemiscylliidae. The transcript is spliced from 2 exons.